RNAcentral lists this long non-coding RNA (441 nucleotides) under Salmo salar (Atlantic salmon). RNAcentral's name for it is "lncRNA (ENSSSAG00000086239.1)". Lineage: Eukaryota; Metazoa; Chordata; Actinopteri; Salmoniformes; Salmonidae. The record is from RNAcentral.
CUUCUUAUGCCACAUCAGGAUGUUACCUAUACACUGGUAAACAGAUCACAUCCUGAGAUUUAAACCAUGUCAAAAACAAGAGAUUUACCCAAACUUGCAUACCUUUUAAUGCAUGAUCUGUGCACAGAGACAUAUUGUGCUGGGUUUUUUGUAUGUUUACUCUGUUCUGCUCUGGCCAGUAGAAAGACAAGCAGCACCAUCAAUGUUAUUGGAGGACAAACUGGUACCAUCAGCCGGGUAGAGGAACGGAGACGUCACAAUAUAGAAGGAAAUAACAUCCAGGUGCUUUCCGAGCCGUCUGAUGCUGAGCAUUCUGCCACUAAGAUGCCCUCCUUCUUCCCCCCCCACCUCUUUUCCCGCCUCCACCCUACAAUGUUAACUACGCCCCUCCCAUUCCUCCACCAUGCUACCCUCCUGGAGCACCCUCUCCCUCUCUGAUCC